RNAcentral lists this ribosomal RNA (403 nucleotides) under Verrucomicrobiota bacterium. Its description in RNAcentral is "Verrucomicrobia bacterium partial 16S ribosomal RNA". It matches the Rfam family "Bacterial small subunit ribosomal RNA", at positions 355 to 776 of the family's 1533-position model. RNAcentral also lists the same sequence under 1 other name. The record is from RNAcentral. Lineage: Bacteria; Pseudomonadati; Verrucomicrobiota.
UGGGGAAUAUUGCACAAUGGGGGAAACCCUGAUGCAGCGACGCCGCGUGAGCGAAGAAGGUUUUCGAAUCGUAAAGCCCUGUCCUAUGGGAAGAUAAUGACGGUACCAUAGGAGGAAGCCCCGGCUAACUACGUGCCAGCAGCCGCGGUAAUACGUAGGGGGCAAGCGUUGUCCGGAAUCACUGGGCGUAAAGGGUUCGCAGGCGGAAAUGCAAGUCAGUUGUGAAAGGCAGAGGCUCAACCUCUGUAAGCAAUUGAAACUGUAUUUCUUGAGAUGUGGAGAGGCAAGUGGAAUUCCUAGUGUAGCGGUGAAAUGCGUAGAUAUUAGGAAGAAUACCGGUGGCGAAGGCGACUUGCUGGACACAAACUGACGCUGAGGAACGAAAGCGUGGGUAGCAAACAGG